GAUGAAGAACGUAGCGAAACGCGAUAAGUAAUGUGAAUUGCAGAAUCCAGUGAAUCAUCGAAUCUUUGAACGCACAUUGCGCCCGCCAGCAUUCUGGCGGGCAUGCCUGUUCGAGCGUCAUUUCAACCCUCGACCUCCCCUUGGGGAGGUCGGCGUUGGGGACCGGCAGCACACCGCCGGCCCUGAAAUGGAGUGGCGGCCCGUCCGCGGCGACCUCUGCGCAGUAAUACAGCUCGCACCGGGACCCCGACGCGGCCACGCCGUAAAACACCCAACUUCUGAACGUUGACCUCGAAUCAGGUAGGACUACCCGCUGAACUUAAGCAUAUCAAUAAGCGGAGGA
This 343-nucleotide unclassified non-coding RNA is filed under the name soil metagenome. Its description in RNAcentral is "partial contains 5.8S ribosomal RNA, internal transcribed spacer 2, and large subunit ribosomal RNA". The stretch from base 1 to 120 matches the Rfam family "5.8S ribosomal RNA", at positions 35 to 154 of the family's 154-position model. The record is from RNAcentral.